Molecule: transfer RNA, 73 nt
Filed under: Planctomycetota bacterium
Lineage: Bacteria; Pseudomonadati; Planctomycetota
Description: Planctomycetes bacterium tRNA-Met
Rfam family: tRNA
About the family: Transfer RNA (tRNA) molecules are approximately 80 nucleotides in length.
Source: RNAcentral
GGCGGCGUAGCUCAGUUGGUAGAGCAGCAGAUUCAUAAGCUGCGGGUCGUAGGUUCGAGCCCUACCGCCGCUA